CAUCUCUCCUCACAUCAUUACUGUGUGGUUCUCAGUAUCCCUCCAGUAGCAGCUGGAAGACCAACUGUCAAAAACAGCCUGUGUGCUAUGCACUUCAGGCUGAGAGCCAAGAACCAACAGUAUCUCCCAACUCAGGUACAGUCCUCCUACUAUGGGGAUCACAAAACACGGACCCCCCAGAGCACGGCCCAAAUGCCCUUUGCUGGCCCAGGCUCCCAUUUGAGCUCAUCACGCUGAGGUCACCUUGGCUAUGUGUAGAAGACAUAGGGCAGUGUAGUGAGAAACAGGCCCUGAGGAAAAGCUGUUGAAAAGGAGGUUGCCACUCAGACAUGCUGCAUGACUGCCUAGGCUUGAGAGCCUCCUGGAGGCUGGUGCAGCCCCAGGAUGCUGCAGACCCAGAAUCAGCCUUUUCAGUCUCCCUUCAAGUCGGGGCACUGGCCCAGAG
This 445-nucleotide long non-coding RNA is filed under the name Rattus norvegicus (Norway rat). RNAcentral describes it as "long non-coding RNA NONRATT031351". Lineage: Eukaryota; Metazoa; Chordata; Mammalia; Rodentia; Muridae. The record is from RNAcentral.